AUGCCUUGAACUUAUGGGUAAGGAAAAGAAUGGUUUAGGGUGAUGCCUGAGUCCUCGUUACUGAUGUGAAUGCAUAAAGGGUGUCUUGCCUGCUGAGGGAGGUGCCUGGGUGUAGGGAUCUGCCUGACCCU
Molecule: small nuclear RNA, 131 nt
Filed under: Mesocricetus auratus (golden hamster)
Lineage: Eukaryota; Metazoa; Chordata; Mammalia; Rodentia; Cricetidae
Description: U12 minor spliceosomal RNA (ENSMAUG00000004353.1)
Source: RNAcentral